GACGGAGGAUGCAAGUGUUAUCCGGAAUCACUGGGCGUAAAGCGUCUGUAGGUGGUUUAAUAAGUCAACUGUUAAAUUUUGAGGCUCAACCUCAAAAUCGCAGUCGAAACUAUUAGGCUAGAGUAUAGUAGGGGUAAAGGGAAUUUCCAGUGGAGCGGUGAAAUGCGUAGAGAUUGGAAAGAACACCGAUGGCGAAGGCACUUUACUGGGCUAUUACUAACACUCAGAGACGAAAGCUAGGGUAGCAAAUGGG
RNAcentral lists this ribosomal RNA (253 nucleotides) under uncultured bacterium. RNAcentral describes it as "partial 16S ribosomal RNA". It matches the Rfam family "Bacterial small subunit ribosomal RNA", at positions 524 to 776 of the family's 1533-position model. The record is from RNAcentral.